RNAcentral lists this ribosomal RNA (253 nucleotides) under uncultured bacterium. Its description in RNAcentral is "partial 16S ribosomal RNA". It matches the Rfam family "Bacterial small subunit ribosomal RNA", at positions 524 to 776 of the family's 1533-position model. The record is from RNAcentral.
UACAGAGGUCCCAAGCGUUGUUCGGAUUCAUUGGGCGUAAAGGGUGCGUAGGCGGUGGGGUAAGUUGGAUGUGAAAUCUUGGGGCUUAACCUCAAAAUUGCAUUCAAUACUGCCCUGCUCGAGUUCUGUAGAGGAGAUUGGAAUUUACGGUGUAGCAGUGAAAUGCGUAGAUAUCGUAAGGAACGCCAGUGGCGAAAGCGAAUCUCUGGGCAGCAACUGACGCUGAGGCACGAAGGCCAGGGGAGCAAACGGG